CAGCAGCCGCGGGAAUACCGAGGGUGCGAGCGUUAAUCGGAUUUACUGGGCGUAAAGCGUGCGUAGGCGGCUUCUUAAGUCGGAUGUGAAAUCCCUGAGCUUAACUUAGGAAUUGCAUUCGAUACUGGGAAGCUAGAGUAUGGGAGAGGAUGGUAGAAUUCCAGGUGUAGCGGUGAAAUGCGUAGAGAUCUGGAGGAAUACCGAUGGCGAAGGCAGCCAUCUGGCCUAAUACUGACGCUGAGGUACAAAAGCAUGGGGAGCAAACAGGAUUAGAUACCCCUGUAGUCCCUGUCUCUUAUAC
Molecule: ribosomal RNA, 301 nt
Filed under: uncultured bacterium
Lineage: Bacteria
Description: partial 16S ribosomal RNA
Rfam family: Bacterial small subunit ribosomal RNA
Source: RNAcentral